Molecule: ribosomal RNA, 468 nt
Filed under: uncultured bacterium
Lineage: Bacteria
Description: partial 16S ribosomal RNA
Rfam family: Bacterial small subunit ribosomal RNA
Source: RNAcentral
GACGAACGCUGGCGGCGUGCUUAACACAUGCAAGUCGAACGGAAAGGCCCUGCUUUUGUGGUGUUCUCGAGUGGCGAACGGGUGAGUAACACGUGAGUAACCUGCCCUUGACUUUGGGAUAACUCCAGGAAACUGGGGCUAAUACCGGAGAGGAGCUCCUGCUGCAUGGUGGGGUUUGGAAAGUUUCGGCGGUUGGGUAUGGACUCGCGGCUUAUCAGCUUGUUGGUGGGGUAGUGGCUUACCAAGGCUUUGACGGGUAGCCGGCCUGAGAGGGUGACCGGCCACAUUGGGACUGAGAUGCGGCCCAGAGUCCUACGGGAGGAAGCAGUGGGGAAUAUUGCAAAAUGGGCGGAAGCCUGAUGCAGCAACGCCGCGUGCGGGAUGACGGCCUUCGGGUUGUAAACCGCUUUGGCCUGUGACGAAGCGUGAGUGACGGUAAUGGGUAAAGAAGCACCGGCUAACUACGUG